This 199-nucleotide long non-coding RNA is filed under the name Lathyrus oleraceus (garden pea). RNAcentral describes it as "Pisum sativum (pea) long non-coding RNA (PSAT_LNC018577)". The record is from RNAcentral. Lineage: Eukaryota; Viridiplantae; Streptophyta; Magnoliopsida; Fabales; Fabaceae.
GUAUCUCCCCAGUGGGUUGGAAGUGUGGUCUCCCCGGAAGAUUUGAGAUCGGUGUCUCUUUAGCGAGCCUAAAGGUUGUCACGUCCCCAAUGGGAGUGUUAGGGGCUAGAAUGUUUCUCAGGGUGGAGGACGUUUCCCCGGCCCAAGCCAGUAUUGAAGACUAUUAGAGUUAUUUCCCCUGCAGAGAUGUCUAUGGACA